GGCUGCGACUGUUUAUUAAAAACACAGCACUCUGCAAAUUCGUAAGAAGACGUAUAGGGUGUGACGCCUGCCCGGUGCCGGAAGGUUAAUUGAUGGGGUUAUCUUCGGAGAAGCUCUUGAUCGAAGCCCCGGUAAACGGCGGCCGUAACUAUAACGGUCCUAAGGUAGCGAAAUUCCUUGUCGGGUAAGUUCCGACCUGCACGAAUGGCGUAACGAUGGCCACACUGUCUCCACCCGAGACUCAGUGAAAUUGAAAUCGCUGUGAAGAUGCAGUGUACCCGCGGCUAGACGGAAAGACCCCGUGAACCUUUACUAUAGUUUUGCACUGGACUUUGAUGAUGACUGUGUAGGAUAGGUGGGAGGCUGUGAAGUGAGGACGCUAGUUCUCAUGGAGCCGCCCUUGAAAUACCACCCUGUUGUUAUUGAGGUUCUAACUUGGUCCAGUAAUCCUGGAUGAGGACAGUGUAUGAUGGGUAGUUUGACUGGGGCGGUCUCCUCCCAAAGAGUAACGGAGGAGCACAAAGGUACCCUCGGUACGGUCGGACAUCGUACCAAGAGUGUAAAGGCAAAAGGGUGCUUGACUGCGAGAGUGACGGCUCGAGCAGGAACGAAAGUUGGUCUUAGUGAUCCGGUGGUUCUGAAUGGAAGGGCCAUCGCUCAACGGAUAAAAGGUACUCCGGGGAUAACAGGCUGAUACCGCCCAAGAGUUCAUAUCGACGGCGGUGUUUGGCACCUCGAUGUCGGCUCAUCACAUCCUGGGGCUGAAGCAGGUCCCAAGGGUAUGGCUGUUCGCCAUUUAAAGUGGUACGCGAGCUGGGUUUAGAACGUCGUGAGACAGUUCGGUCCCUAUCUGCCGUGGGCGUAGGAAAAUUGAGAGGAGCUGCUCCUAGUACGAGAGGACCGGAGUGGACGAACCUCUGGUGCACCGGUUGUCACGCCAGUGGCAUGGCCGGGUAGCUAAGUUCGGACGGGAUAACCGCUGAAAGCAUCUAAGCGGGAAGCCUCCCUCAAGAUGAGUUUUCCCAUGAAGCCCGUUGAAGACUACGACGUUGAUAGGCAAGGUGUGGAAGCGCAGUAAUGCGUGAAGCUAACUUGUACUAAUUGGCUGAUUGUCUUGACCAU
This 1122-nucleotide ribosomal RNA is filed under the name Legionella pneumophila. Its description in RNAcentral is "partial 23S ribosomal RNA". It matches the Rfam family "Bacterial large subunit ribosomal RNA", at positions 1792 to 2925 of the family's 2925-position model. The record is from RNAcentral. Lineage: Bacteria; Pseudomonadati; Pseudomonadota; Gammaproteobacteria; Legionellales; Legionellaceae.